RNAcentral lists this non-coding RNA (31 nucleotides) under Rattus norvegicus (Norway rat). The record is from RNAcentral. Lineage: Eukaryota; Metazoa; Chordata; Mammalia; Rodentia; Muridae.
UUUUUUUUUGGCUUACAGUUCUAAGGGAUAC